This 314-nucleotide unclassified non-coding RNA is filed under the name plant metagenome. RNAcentral describes it as "partial contains 5.8S ribosomal RNA, internal transcribed spacer 2, and large subunit ribosomal RNA". The stretch from base 1 to 105 matches the Rfam family "5.8S ribosomal RNA", at positions 50 to 154 of the family's 154-position model. The record is from RNAcentral.
GAAAUGCGAUAAUUAAUGUGAAUUGCAGAAUUCAGUGAAUCAUCGAGUCUUUGAACGCACAUUGCACCCCCUGGUAUUCCGGGGGGCAUGCCUGUCCGAGCGUCAUUGCUGCCCUCAAGCACGGCUUGUGUGUUGGGCUUCCGUCCCUGGCAACGGGGACGGGCCCAAAAGGCAGUGGCGGCACCAUGUCUGGUCCUCGAGCGUAUGGGGCUUUGUCACCCGCUCCCGUAGGUCCAGCUGGCAGCUAGCCUCGCAACCAAUCUUUUUAACCAGGUUGACCUCGGAUCAGGUAGGGAUACCCGCUGAACUUAAGC